RNAcentral lists this long non-coding RNA (277 nucleotides) under Ananas comosus (pineapple). RNAcentral describes it as "long non-coding RNA (ACOM_LNC038622)". The record is from RNAcentral. Lineage: Eukaryota; Viridiplantae; Streptophyta; Magnoliopsida; Poales; Bromeliaceae.
UUAGAGUCACCUUUAUAUGCUUUGAGAGUAGAUGAUGUAUAGGAUGUGAGAUAUUCUGGGAUGAAUGUAAGCUAAUGUUUAUAUUUUGGAAGAUGUAAGCUUUAUACUAUGUUUUAGAAGUUCAAUGUAUAAUCAAAUUGUAUUAUAAAGGCUGAAUGAAUGUAAUAGAUAGAUGCUCUCUCUUUAUCAUUACUUGUAUGUUCUAUACUUGUAUCUUGCUCUUGGCUGUUUUGCACUAUUUGUGCUCUUGUUGUAGUUAUCGAUUGUGUAUGUAUUC